CAGUAGCCGCGGUAACACGAACCGUGCGAAUGUUAUUCGGAAUCACUGGGCUUAAAGCGCGUGUAGGCGGGCCGCCACGUCGGCUGCUGAAAUCCCCCGGCUCAACCGGGGAAGUGGCACCGAUACGAGCGGCCUCGAGGGGGGUAGGGGGCACUGGAACUUCCGGUGGGGCGGUGAAAUGCGUUGAGAUCGGAAGGAACGCCCGUGGCGAAAGCGAGUGCCUGGACCCUUUCUGACGCUGAGACGCGAAAGCCAGGGGAGCGAACGGGAUUAGAUACCCGUGUAGUCCCUGUCUCUUAUA
RNAcentral lists this ribosomal RNA (301 nucleotides) under uncultured bacterium. Its description in RNAcentral is "partial 16S ribosomal RNA". It matches the Rfam family "Bacterial small subunit ribosomal RNA", at positions 509 to 807 of the family's 1533-position model. The record is from RNAcentral.